AAUAAUCAAAAAAAUACAUAAUUAACUGAAAUGAUCAUCAGUAAAAUACUACUUAGCUAUAAAAAGAAACAAACUUGAUAUGUGGCAAUAUUCAUGUUUAGGAGUAGGAUUUGGGGGAGAAUCAAUUUCAGCUAUCUCUUAUAGCUGAAAAUAUUCUUUUCUAAAGAUGUGAACUGAAAAAUCUUUUUUGAAUAUGGUGAAUGUUAUGGAAUCAAUAUCAUUACUUGAGGUGCUAUGGCUCCUUUAAGUUUAAAAACAAAUUGAAGUUGCAAACAAGGUCUGUAUGCUUAAAAAUAUCAAAAUGGUGAAGCUGUGAAAAGUUUUGGGCCACCCAUAAAUAUGAAAUAAGAUGAACAAGGGCAGAGAGGGAAGUGAAAAAUAAGGCUCUGCGGGGAUUUCAAGUCUUACAAAUUAACAUUUGAGCCUUAAUUUGCUCUAAGGGGGUCAGUGUUUUCACAUUUAAAAACAGUAUUCAGCCAUUGGAAAAGUGUCUUUGUCUACUACAGAAAAGGGAAGAGGGAAUUAUGACAGUGCCAGCAUAUGUAAGGUGGUAUUAGGCAAAAGGCAGCCUUCUCUGCAGCUCUGUGGCCGUGCUGCCAUCCUUGUGUAACAGAGGAGGAACUAAGGGUUAGUGAUAGUUCAUAGCCUGUCCAAGAGCUAACGCAAGGCUGAGCUCAGAUUUGAGCCCAGGUCCGAGACUCCAGAUUCCUGAUUACGUGUUUGAAAAGUCAUCAACUGUGGACUUCCUAUUGCUUUAGCAGUUUGCCCGACCCCCUUUCCUUUGCAUCCUUGGGAUAGUGGAAGGUUUUUGGAUAUUGUAAAUUUGUUUCAAUAAAAAGUUUGUAACUGUUUAUGACAGAAGUGCUGUCUCUGGACCAGGAACAUCAACAUUGCCUUGCUUGGGAACUUACUAGAAAUGCAGAAUUCUCAGGCACUACUCCUGACCUCCCAUGCAGAAACUCAAGACAUACCACUUGCAAAGAGAGGAGGAACAUAUUCUCAAACCAUCAGGAAGACCUUUUGGAGAAUUUCCUACUGUGACUGCUGUAAAAAUUCUGUGCAUUAUUAUAA
This 1071-nucleotide long non-coding RNA is filed under the name Marmota monax (woodchuck). Lineage: Eukaryota; Metazoa; Chordata; Mammalia; Rodentia; Sciuridae. The record is from RNAcentral.